This is a small nuclear RNA of Molossus molossus (Pallas's mastiff bat), 172 nucleotides long. RefSeq annotates it as U1 spliceosomal RNA. NCBI's taxonomy places the organism in Eukaryota, Metazoa, Chordata, Mammalia, Chiroptera, Molossidae. The record is from RefSeq and is a predicted model, not a curated record. The transcript has a single exon.
AUACUUACCUGGCCGGGGAGAUAGCAUGAUCAGGAAGGUGGUUUUCCCAGGGUGAGGCUUAUGCACUGCACUCCGGAACUCUGGGUUUGCUGACCCAUGUGGUUUCCCCAAAUGUGGGAAACUCCACCACAUAAUUUGUGGUAGUAGGGGAAUCUGUUUGCGCUCUCCCUUA